This 450-nucleotide ribosomal RNA is filed under the name uncultured bacterium. RNAcentral's name for it is "bacterial SSU rRNA". It matches the Rfam family "Bacterial small subunit ribosomal RNA", at positions 28 to 498 of the family's 1533-position model. The record is from RNAcentral.
GAUGAACGCUGGCGGCGCGCCUAACACAUGCAAGUCGAACGGCACCCCUCUCCGGAGGGAAGCGAGUGGCGAACGGCUGAGUAACACGUGGAGAACCUGCCCCCUCCCCCGGGAUAGCCGCCCGAAAGGACGGGUAAUACCGGAUACCCCGGGGUGCCGCAUGGCACCCCGGCUAAAGCCCCGACGGGAGGGGAUGGCUCCGCGGCCCAUCAGGUAGACGGCGGGGUGACGGCCCACCGUGCCGACAACGGGUAGCCGGGUUGAGAGACCGACCGGCCAGAUUGGGACUGAGACACGGCCCAGACUCCUACGGGAGGCAGCAGUGGGGAAUCUUGCGCAAUGGGGGGAACCCUGACGCAGCGACGCCGCGUGCGGGACGGAGGCCUUCGGGUCGUAAACCGCUUUCAGCAGGGAAGAGUCAAGACUGUACCUGCAGAAGAAGCCCCGGCU